Molecule: ribosomal RNA, 416 nt
Filed under: uncultured Clostridium sp.
Lineage: Bacteria; Bacillati; Bacillota; Clostridia; Eubacteriales; Clostridiaceae
Description: bacterial SSU rRNA
Rfam family: Bacterial small subunit ribosomal RNA
Source: RNAcentral
UGGGGAAUAUUGGGGCAAUGGGCGAAAGCCUGACCCAGCGACGCCGCGUGAGGGAAGAAGGUCUUCGGAUUGUAAACCUCUGUCAACAGGGACGAAAGCAAUGACGGUACCUGUGGAGGAAGCCACGGCUAACUACGUGCCAGCAGCCGCGGUAAUACGUAGGUGGCGAGCGUUAUCCGGAAUUACUGGGUGUAAAGGGUGUGUAGGCGGGUCGGCAAGUCAGAUGUGAAAAUUAUGGGCUUAACCCAUAACCUGCAUUUGAAACUGUCGGUCUUGAGUGUCGGAGGGGUAAAUAGAAUUCCCGGUGUAGCGGUGAAAUGCGUAGAUAUCGGGAGGAAUACCGGUGGCGAAGGCGAUUUACUGGACGACAACUGACGCUGAGACACGAAAGCGUGGGUAGCAAACAGGAUUAGAUA